RNAcentral lists this non-coding RNA (32 nucleotides) under Mus musculus (house mouse). Lineage: Eukaryota; Metazoa; Chordata; Mammalia; Rodentia; Muridae. The record is from RNAcentral.
UUUUGGUUUCUAGACCUGUGUCAAUUUCACCC